Molecule: ribosomal RNA, 460 nt
Filed under: uncultured bacterium
Lineage: Bacteria
Description: bacterial SSU rRNA
Rfam family: Bacterial small subunit ribosomal RNA
Source: RNAcentral
AUACGGGAGGCAGCAGUGGGGAAUAUUGGACAAUGGGGGCAACCCUGAUCCAGCAAUGCCGCGUGUGUGAAGAAGGCCUGCGGGUUGUAAAGCACUUUCAGUAGGGAAGAAAAGCUCGGGAUUAAUACUCCCGGGUCUUGACGUUACCUAAAGAAGAAGCACCGGCUAACUCCGUGCCAGCAGCCGCGGUAAUACGGAGGGUGCGAGCGUUAAUCGGAAUUACUGGGCGUAAAGAGCACGUAGGCGGUUGGGUAAGUCGGAUGUGAAAGCCCUGGGCUUAACCUGGGAACUGCAUUCGAUACUGCCUGGCUAGAGUAUGGGAGAGGGAAGCGGAAUUUCCGGUGUAGCGGUGAAAUGCGUAGAUAUCGGAAGGAACACCAAUGGCGAAGGCAGCUUCCUGGCCCAAUACUGACGCUCAGGUGCGAAAGCGUGGGGAUCAAACAGGAUUAGAUACCCUGGU